UAUCUCUCUCGUUUUUAUCAUUUUCCUCUGAAAAUGAUCUAUUCUAACAGCAGUCGCCAAGUAUUAUUAUUAUUCGAAUUCACUGUUCGGUAUCCUCGCAAUAAUUUCAUUUCAACAAUACACGGCCGUUGAUUCUAAAAUCGUUGUUCUUAAAGCGGGUCUCGCGAAAGUCUCAGCGAAACUGUCGGCCCUAUCUGACCUGGUUGCGGUAUCGGGUUUCACCGAUCGGAUGUCUCCCGGGCGGCGUUAAUUCGACCAACGAUAAAGUCGUCGGAUUUCGUCGGAGCAGUCACGGAGUUUCGGACGACUCGUCGCAUCUAGGCGGCGUCGGAGAUGCCACGCGAGUCUCCGAACUUAUAUACUCGAUGCGCCUUUCUCCAGUAAUCUCCCGUAAUCUCGGCGGUUCGUUGUACCUCUCGCCUGUCGCGCGCAUACCUUUUGCCGGAACGGUCCCUCUUCCCCUCGCCCAUCGCAUCUUCUUGCACGACGAUCAGCUCCCGAGUCGCGCCGGCACCAGAGGUCGAUCACUGAGACUGGGCUUUGCUUUUCUUCUCCCGAGCGGAAGCUUAACGCGAGGAGGCCCGUGCAGGAGGGCCGGCUUCGUUGAAGGACGCCGGAGAUCGAUAGGAUGACUCGACCGUGCCAGAUCCUUCUGCUGGCGUGACUGGGCCUUUUCGGCAAGAUGUUAAUGAGAAGGUGCCGCCGGUACACCUGCGCAGCUGCGAAGGGGUUAGGGAACCGCCGCUCCAACGGACCGACGCCGCGGUGUGUUACGCUACAAGGAACAUACACUCGUGACCCGUUAACCAGAUAAAUGGACGCACCUCGGAAAUCUCCGCUCGAUCCUAAGGAAACCAACACGAGGUUAUUAACGAGGUUAUUGACGAAGUUGUCGGCGAAGUAACGCGUGCCGAAGACGGAACCGAUCGCAACGUUCGACCGUGACAAAUAAGAAAUCUUUGUUAAUCUUGUUACACACGAGAUUGCCUGUUAAUUUUACGGCCGUUCUCGUUUCACAGUUCGAUCUCAUCGCGGCUGCGUUUUAUUCGUAAUUUCAUGUUUUGAAGAAAUACAUAGAAUCAUAGAGAAUUUCGCAGAAUA
Molecule: long non-coding RNA, 1101 nt
Organism: Megalopta genalis
Lineage: Eukaryota; Metazoa; Arthropoda; Insecta; Hymenoptera; Halictidae
Source: RefSeq, a predicted model, not a curated record